Molecule: long non-coding RNA, 621 nt
Organism: Ficedula albicollis (Collared flycatcher)
Lineage: Eukaryota; Metazoa; Chordata; Aves; Passeriformes; Muscicapidae
Exons: 3
Source: RefSeq, a predicted model, not a curated record
UGUAUAGAGACAUGUGAGUGCAUGCAUUCCCCCUCUCUUUAUUCUAGGGUCUCAGAUGAAUUUGCUGGAGACCUCAGAAGAUACUAAAUUCUGGAACAUUUGUGAAAACACCUACUGGGAAAAACAAGUUCCCCAAUGAAGGAAAAGUGGCAACAUCAUCUUGGGCCUUAAAAGCCAGCAAAGAAUCCACUUGAGAAUGGGGCACUGUGACUGACUCUGUGACAUCCAAUCUGCAAACACAGGUGCUUGGAACACAUUGGCAUUUUUCAGGCUGUGCCACCACAUAGCGUAGCACCUUGCAGUUAAAAUCCAGCCAACCAGGACACAGACUGGAGAGGGUGGGGACAGUGCAGAGGGGAGGAAGUAUCCCUGCAGCUAUUCCAGCCCUGACAAGCAGUGCAGCCAGGUGGCCACGGCCCGGGACACGAAGCAGGCAUGUGGCUGCCAGCCUUACCCCGGCAAGAGCGGCAUUGGAGAAUUGACAGAGGAAAGCCAGCAGGAACAGAAACGACCGAGAAAGACAGAAAAGAAAGAAGGAUUACCUGCAUCUCCAGACAAUGCAGCUGUGCUUUUACUCCGAGCCAGGAAUGAGUGUGUGGGCGUCAGGAGCCUGCUAACGAU